This 392-nucleotide ribosomal RNA is filed under the name Gloeochaete wittrockiana. RNAcentral's name for it is "partial Bacterial large subunit ribosomal RNA". It matches the Rfam family "Bacterial large subunit ribosomal RNA", at positions 868 to 1257 of the family's 2925-position model. The record is from RNAcentral. Lineage: Eukaryota; Glaucocystophyceae; Gloeochaetales; Gloeochaetaceae.
AUUUAGGUGCAGCGUCGUAUAUAAGUUUAUUAGAGGUAGAGCUACUGAUUGGAUGCGGGGGUUUCAUCGCCUACCAAUUCCUGACAAACUCCGAAUGCUAAUAAAUGUUCUACGGCAGUGAGGGCAUGGGUGCUAAGGUCCAUGUCCGAGAGGGAAAGAACCCAGACCAACAGCUAAGGUCCCCAAAUAUAUGUUAAGUUGAAGCAACGCGGUUGGACUGCAUUGACAGCUAGGAUGUUGGCUUGGAAGCAGCCAUUCAUUUAAAGAGUGCGUAACAGCUCACUAGUCGAGCGGUCCGGCAUGGAUAAUAAUCGGGCAUAAACAUAUUACCGAAGCUAUGGAUUUAUAAUUUAUUAUAUCUGGUAGGAGAGCAUUCUGUUUGCGCCGAAGCA